RNAcentral lists this microRNA (22 nucleotides) under Tetranychus urticae (two-spotted spider mite). RNAcentral describes it as "tur-miR-278-5p". Its record names the gene tur-miR-278-5p. The record is from miRBase by way of RNAcentral. Lineage: Eukaryota; Metazoa; Arthropoda; Arachnida; Trombidiformes; Tetranychidae.
ACGGAUAAAUAUUCCACCGAUA